Molecule: ribosomal RNA, 295 nt
Filed under: uncultured Burkholderiales bacterium
Lineage: Bacteria; Pseudomonadati; Pseudomonadota; Betaproteobacteria; Burkholderiales
Description: partial 16S ribosomal RNA
Rfam family: Bacterial small subunit ribosomal RNA
Source: RNAcentral
GUGCCAGCAGCCGCGGUAAUACGUAGGGUGCAAGCGUUAAUCGGAAUUACUGGGCGUAAAGCGUGCGCAGGCGGUUUUGUAAGACAGUCGUGAAAUCCCCGGGCUCAACCUGGGAACUGCCAUUGUGACUGCAAGGCUAGAGUGCGGCAGAGGGGGGUGGAAUUCCGCUGUAGCAGUGAAAUGCGUAGAUAUGCGGAGGAACACCGAUGGCGAAGGCAAUCCCCUGGGCCUGCACUGACGCUCAUGCACGAAAGCGUGGGGAGCAAACAGGAUUAGAUACCCUGGUAGUCAAGGC